AUGCAAGUCGAACGAACCUUCGGGUUAGUGGCGGACGGGUGAGUAACGCGUGAGAAUCUGCCCUCAGGAGGGGGAUAACGGCUGGAAACGGCCGCUAAUACCCCAUAUGCCGAGAGGUGAAAUGAAAUUCGCCUGAGGAUGAGCUCGCGUCUGAUUAGCUAGUUGGUGGGGUAAGGGCCUACCAAGGCAUCGAUCAGUAGCUGGUCUGAGAGGAUGAUCAGCCACACUGGGACUGAGACACGGCCCAGACUCCUACGGGAGGCAGCAGUGGGGAAUUUUCCGCAAUGGGCGAAAGCCUGACGGAGCAACGCCGCGUGAGGGAUGAAGGCCUCUGGGCUGUAAACCUCUUUUCUCAAGGAAGAAGAUCUGACGGUACUUGAGGAAUAAGCCACGGCUAAUUCCGUGCCAGCAGCCGCGGUAAUACGGGAGUGGCAAGCGUUAUCCGGAAUUAUUGGGCGUAAAGCGUCCGCAGGCGGCUCUGUAAGUCUGUCGUUAAAGCGUGGAGCUUAACUCCAUUUAAGCGAUGGAAACUACAGGGCUUGAGUGUGGUAGGGGCAGAGGGAAUUCCCGGUGUAGCGGUGAAAUGCGUAGAUAUCGGGAAGAACACCAGUGGCGAAGGCGCUCUGCUGGGCCAUAACUGACGCUCAUGGACGAAAGCCAGGGGAGCGAAAGGGAUUAGAUACCCCUGUAGUCCUGGCCGUAAACGAUGAACACUAGGUGUCGGGGGAAUCGACCCCCUCGGUGUCGUAGCCAACGCGUUAAGUGUUCCGCCUGGGGAGUACGCACGCAAGUGUGAAACUCAAAGGAAUUGACGGGGGCCCGCACAAGGCGGUGGAGUAUGUGGUUUAUCGAUGCACGCGAGGACUUACAGGGUUUGACAUCUGCGACCCUGGAAACGAGGGGGUGCCUUCGAGCGCA
This 918-nucleotide ribosomal RNA is filed under the name uncultured bacterium. RNAcentral describes it as "bacterial SSU rRNA". It matches the Rfam family "Bacterial small subunit ribosomal RNA", at positions 55 to 1028 of the family's 1533-position model. The record is from RNAcentral.